This 382-nucleotide long non-coding RNA is filed under the name Pan troglodytes (chimpanzee). RNAcentral's name for it is "lincRNA". Lineage: Eukaryota; Metazoa; Chordata; Mammalia; Primates; Hominidae. The record is from RNAcentral.
GUUCUUCAGGAGGGAUUCCAGAACAAGGCACUCUCAUCACAGGAGAUGACAGCUCCAUGUGCAUGACGGCCCCAGAAGACCAUCUGGUAGGACAAGAUGUGGAGGUGGAACACAGUGAUAUUGAUAAUCCUGACCCUGGAGAUGAAAAGAUGGGCCAGGAGUCCAGUUUCUGGAAGGCCAAGAAUCGAAGUAGCAAGCUGCAGCCGUUUUCCAGACAAGCAGGAUGUGGGGAUGCAGAAGAAUUCAGGACUGGAGAGGCAAACUCCGUAAGCAGGGGCUGUCACGAUUCCCAUCUCCCUCUAUAAACCUCUCUCUUUUCAUGUCGUACUGUUCCAUGUUAUAUGUAACUGUUUUAAAGCUACAUACUGGACAAAAAAUGGAA